CCCAUUAUAAAUGUAGAACAAACAAAGCAAGAGUGGGCCUGACAUCGCAUGCACGAGCCAUAAAAUUCAUGGGUGUAAUUGUGACAGAGCAUCACAAGGGUAGUACAAAAUGCGAGUGUCCGAUCAGUGGUUGAGUUGGAGUUCUCUUAUAAAGAUUAAGGGGGCAAAAAGUCUGUUAAGCCUAUCCACCUUUUUGCUCCCUAUGAUGGACAUGGCCAAGUGUCCACUGUCCACUCCUUUUUACCCUUUGAUGCAGAAAGCCAUCCCGUCCUCAUCACAAGACUAAUUUCGUACACCAUACAUCAUUGUUAUGUACUCGGAUGAUCAUUUUUGUCCCCAAG
RNAcentral lists this long non-coding RNA (341 nucleotides) under Elaeis guineensis (African oil palm). Its description in RNAcentral is "long non-coding RNA (EGUI_LNC015132)". Lineage: Eukaryota; Viridiplantae; Streptophyta; Magnoliopsida; Arecales; Arecaceae. The record is from RNAcentral.